AUGAACUCUCAUGAGGAAAUCCACCAAUUCUUGGGACUUUGGGAGAAGGUCCAAAAUGUGCAACUAUCAACCUCCAGAGAUAGCAUUGCCUGGCAUCUGUCGGCUGAUGGUUCGUACUCGGCCAAAUCUGCGUACCACGCACAGUUCCUUGGGCGCUUGCACCAACCAGAGCUGGCCAGUGUUUGGAAGGUGAAAACGGAUAGGAAAAUAAGGUUUUUCCUUUGGCUUCUGCUUCAGAACAGAAACUGGACUGCGGACAGAUUGCUUUUGCGCGGAUGGCCACAUGAUCCAAAGUGUAAACUAUGUGACUUGGUGAUUGAAACGGCGGCACAUCUCUCUUUUCAGUGCCCUUAUGUGAGGCAGGUGUGGCUUUCGCUAAGCGCUACUCAUGCUGACCUCACAGCUACAGCGUUGGCUGCCUCCUCGGUGAACUCCUGGUGGGGCGCUUUGCUCCAGCUCAAGCCCAACAAAACAAGGAACAACUCGCUCUCCAUGGCAUCUUUCGCUCUUUGGAACAUCUGGCUGGAAAGGAACAGAAGAACCUUCGAUGGAAAGUGCACUUCGGCAGCUGAUGUUGCUAGGCUUGCUAGUGAUGACUUUCGCCUCUUAGUUGAGGCAUGUGGGGGUUAG
Molecule: ribosomal RNA, 630 nt
Filed under: Triticum aestivum (bread wheat)
Lineage: Eukaryota; Viridiplantae; Streptophyta; Magnoliopsida; Poales; Poaceae
Description: partial small subunit ribosomal RNA
Source: RNAcentral